RNAcentral lists this long non-coding RNA (542 nucleotides) under Junco hyemalis (dark-eyed junco). RNAcentral describes it as "lncRNA (ENSJHYG00000001608.1)". The record is from RNAcentral. Lineage: Eukaryota; Metazoa; Chordata; Aves; Passeriformes; Passerellidae.
GCUGCUGUGGGACUGGCUCUCCUGUGAGGCUGGAGCUGCCAUGAGUCUGGCUCUUUUCCAGCUGCAAUGAGAGAAUGGAAGCUCCCCUGAAGGGCACCUUUGUGUCAAGUCCCCAAAGAGGACAACCUCUGCUCCCGAGUGGACAGGUACCCAGUUGGACCAAUCCAGAGCAGGCACCUUGCACUGAGGUAUGCACGUGGAGGGAGCAGUCUUCAAAUAAGAGAUGAAGAGGAGGUGGCUGAUUUUCCAAGAACCCCUCUAGAACAUGGCAAAAUGUGCUAUGCUUCCCACUUCCAGGCUGACCUGGUUCCCCUGGAAUGAGAGAGUAUCCUCCAAAGGAAACACGUGGUGGUGGUGCUGGGGAGGGGAUGCUCCCUGAACAUCCAGGCUGGAGCUUGUGAGGCUGUUGGGUCUCAGGGCACUGACACUGUGAGGUGUCACUGAGCAGCAGACUGCCCUGAAUGUAGGGGGGUAGAUGCAGAGCUGAAGCUGGGGUGGUGGUGGGGAAUAAAUGAUAACUUAAUAUUUGAGAGGUAAGUGUU